CCGAUUUUCAAGAGUGAGUUCUACCUAGGUGGCUAUUCCUCACAUGGUUCGUGAUGCACAACAGUUUAUGUCAAUUGGUAUUAGAGUCAGCCUUAUCUUGCCAGACUUGGCACUGGGAGUAGUGGCCUAGGAGUGGUGGCUCGCAGAGUGGUGGCCUAGACCCAUGGUGUAAGGAAAGGUGGUCUGAUGUGUAGGGUGUUAGCCGUGAACAACAUGGCCGUGACCAACGAGGACGUUGGUUCUCUAAGUGUGGGGUAUUGUUACAAUCUCACAUCGCUAAGGAAUAACUUUGGUGAGAGGUUAAUAAGUUCCUAGGCACCCUCCCCUUGCAAGCUGGUUUUCAAGGGUGAGUUCUACCUAGGUGGCUUAUUCCUCACGUGGUUCGUGGUGCACAUUAGUUCAUAUCAAAAUCUUUGUGACUUUUAUUAAUCUUUAAUACAAAAUAAAGCUAAAAGAUAAUCAUUU
RNAcentral lists this unclassified non-coding RNA (465 nucleotides) under Hevea brasiliensis (rubber tree). The record is from RNAcentral. Lineage: Eukaryota; Viridiplantae; Streptophyta; Magnoliopsida; Malpighiales; Euphorbiaceae.